CAGUCGAGGGGCAGCAUUGGAGUAGCAAUACUUCAGAUGGCGACCGGCGCACGGGUGAGUAACACGUAUCCAACCUGCCGCUUACUCGGGGAUAGCCUUUCGAAAGAAAGAUUAAUACCCGAUGGUACAAAGAGUUCGCAUGUUCUCUUUAUUAAAGAAUUUCGGUAAGCGAUGGGGAUGCGUUCCAUUAGAUUGUUGGCGGGGUAACGGCCCACCAAGUCUACGAUGGAUAGGGGUUCUGAGAGGAAGGUCCCCCACAUUGGAACUGAGACACGGUCCAAACUCCUACGGGAGGCAGCAGUGAGGAAUAUUGGUCAAUGGACGAGAGUCUGAACCAGCCAAGUAGCGUGAAGGAUGACUGCCCUAUGGGUUGUAAACUUCUUUUAUAAGGGAAUAAAGUGAGGGACGUGUCCCUUUUUGUAUGUACCUUAUGAAUAAGGAUCGGCUAACUCCGUGCCAGCAGCCGCGGUAAUACGGAGGAUCCAAGCGUUAUCCGGAUUUAUUGGGUUUAAAGGGUGCGUAGGCGGGCCCUUAAGUCAGUGGUGAAAGUUUGCAGCUUAACUGUAAAAUUGCCAUUGAAACUGAGGGUCUUGAGUGUAAAUAAGGUAGGCGGAAUGUGUUGUGUAGCGGUGAAACGCUUAGAUAUUACUUAGAACACCAAUUGCGAAGGCAGGUCACUAAGAUUUAACUGACGCUGAUGGACGAAAGCGUGGGGAGCGAACAGGAUUAGAUACCCUGGUAGUCCACGCCGUAAACGAUGCUAACUCGUUUUUGGGGUUUCGGCUUCAGAGACUAAGCGAAAGUGAUAAGUUAACCACCUGGGGAGUACGUUCGCAAGAAUGAAACUCAAAGGAAUUGACGGGGGCCCGCACAAGCGGUGGAUUAUGUGGGUUUAAAUUCGAUGAUACGCCGAGGAAACCUUACCAAGACUUAAAUGGGAAAUGACAGAUUUAGAAAUAGAUCCUUCUUCGGACAUUUUUCAAGGUGCUGCAUGGUUGUCGUCAGGUCGUGCCGUGAGGUGUUAGGUUACCUCGAGAAGCUA
Molecule: ribosomal RNA, 1042 nt
Filed under: uncultured bacterium
Lineage: Bacteria
Description: bacterial SSU rRNA
Rfam family: Bacterial small subunit ribosomal RNA
Source: RNAcentral